Molecule: long non-coding RNA, 2182 nt
Organism: Triplophysa rosa
Lineage: Eukaryota; Metazoa; Chordata; Actinopteri; Cypriniformes; Nemacheilidae
Exons: 7
Source: RefSeq, a predicted model, not a curated record
AAUGUUUAAAAUACGGCGAGUGGGGAGGGUCACGCGCUGUAAUGACAUCUCCAGGACUCCGGAGGGCGCCAAAGAUUAACAGCGCAGCGCCGAACGCGUGCUCUUCUUCAGGUUUGAAUGAAAAGAGAGGCUUUGAUUUGUCUUCACUGGAGUUUCCAAAGAUGUCUCAAUGUCUGAGAUUUGCCAAACAAAGUCUGCAUCCAAAGAGUAAAUGAUCUGAUUUGUAAGACUGCGGCCGAUCGUCCUUGUGUCCGGUUCCCCCUCAACAUCUGUCUGCUCGUCCCAGUGUUUCCACGCACACGACCGGCCAAUCAGAAGGCGAGAUUUUCCCUCCCUUGAGUCCAGCAGGUGGCAUUGGCGAAUAUCGAAAGGAAUUACAUAAGUCUCCUUGUUUCCAGGUUCUUCAAAACAAGAGGAUGAGGGAGAUUUAAAGCACCGGUCCAAAGACAGAACACAAACGCGUGACUCUCCAGAGCAUCUCCAGGUAUCAUGAUGCAUUCCCAGUUCCCGGCCUUAAAACCAGUGUGUCCAGAUGAAAUUCGGACCAGUCGUGACUCGUGACUGACGCCCUGCAAUGCUCAAGGUGCAACCUCUUCCUUUGGACUUGAGAAAUACAAGAUUAAAAAAACUUUUCCACUCCUGCAUCUCUAUGGAAAAUGGUGGCAGUUGGCUCCUGCAUCACUUCCUCAGUCAUCGCCGUGGCGACACCACCCCCCCACCAGCAGGAGCAGAUGUAACCCAGCACUUUUCUGGGGCUUUUGCUGAGCCGAGAAAACAGCGCACAGGCCGAUGAGACAACAUCAGAACGCCUCAGUAAAACUCCGGUCAAACUCACACACAGACAUCAGAGUCGUUUUUCUUCCAGGUUGUAUUUCAACAUAUUGUCCUGCUGUUUGAGUUUUGCCUGAAGCCAGAUGACAGAUUGUUGAUGAGGUUUGACCACAAUCUCACCUUUGAAGAAAUGAAAUCUUGAAAUGUUGAAAAAAUACACACGAUGAAACGUAGCUUCUCAACCAGGGGCGGACUGGCCAUCUGGCGUUUUCCCAGUGGGCCGCUAUCGUUUGGGGCCGGAACGUACGCAUUGGCCGGUCAGACGGACGUAUUAUAAAUGCAAAUGAACGCAACGCGAACACAAAAGACACGUAUGCAUGCCACUCCCCCCCCCCAGUCGACAGACCUAUCCAUGUGCACCCCGCACCCCACCCCCCCCGUCGACAGAAAUGGUGGAGGGACGAUUUUUUCCCCAGGCCAGCCCUGUUCUCAACCGAGUUUGUUUUAGGACUUCAAAUAUCAACCCAACACAGGACCAAAGUUAUGUAUCAUUCAGUUUCAUCCCUUAUUAAACCAAAAUGUCCAUAACAUUAAACUGCAUAGAACAGUCUGAUCUGAAUUAUUAAACUGACAUUAUUCAUCUGAAAUAGAAAAUCUGUGGAAAUGUUUAUUCUUAAAUGUCUCUUUUUCAUGUCAUUGCAUAACAGACGCUGUUAAGACUCACUGCGGGUAAAUCUGUGUUUAAUGUACUGUAGUCUGGGGUUUUUUAUCGUGUGUAGUUUUAUUUAUGGCUGGAGGAUGAGGGCGCGUCACACAACCUGUCCAUGUUGGCAUGUGGCACGUUUGGCUUCUGCUGCCAACUGACAGAUGAAUUUGCACCAAAAUACCGAUUUGUUUGGACACGCGGCCAUUGACGUCAACAACAACCAAAGGACAUAUGGGAAGAGUUUUCUCCUUCCGUUCAGAAGUCGUAAGACAGCCGAACGCGAGCUGGACGGACAGAUAACAUGAUGAGUGAAUCCACCGACGGAAGGAAAACAGAGAGUGAUGGGAUAUGGGAACCGCGAGCGGGACGGCUGUGAAGCUCUGAAACGCUGGAGCGUGGCUGUGCGAGAUUGCGAGUAGUGUGGGUGAGAUGGUGGGCAGAGGAUGGGUUACAGAACAUUCACAGCGCAAUAAUACAGGGAUUUGUCAGGGCCAAUGGUGAUCAGGAGAAAAUGCGGCGUGUUUUGUGUGUGUGUGUUUGCUCAUGUCAAGUGCUUUUCUGUGGAUUGGAUUUGAUUACCAGACAGUUUGAAUCACAGUUCUGAGUCAUUAGUUUCAUUUGCCAGUUCUUCCAUAAGAGCUCUGAAACAUGCUGUAAAAAGAGCCCUCUCUCUCUCUCUCUCUCUCUCUCUCUCUCUCUCUCUCU